This 3887-nucleotide small RNA is filed under the name Rattus norvegicus (Norway rat). RNAcentral's name for it is "uncharacterized LOC102547227". Lineage: Eukaryota; Metazoa; Chordata; Mammalia; Rodentia; Muridae. The record is from RNAcentral.
UCUUGUGCAUGUGUGUAUGCAUUCAAUUUUUGUACUUGACAUUUGGGUUUUUUGUAUGUAUACUUGUCCAUUUUGUUUUGCUCUCUUUUUAAAGAUUUCCCUCUGUCUUCUUAAAAGAGUGAGAAAGAAGGCAUGGAGUUUGAAGGGUAAGGAGGUAAGAAGAAUUGGGAGGAGAUGAGGAAGAGGAAACCAUGAAUAGAAUAUAUUGUAUAAAAUUAUUUUCCACUAAAAACAAAGAGGAAUAAGAAACAAAAUAGAAAUUUUAAGAAAAGAAAACUACAUUAUUACUCAUAGAUAUAUUCUGGUAUGACUUGACUUUUUGUUUUAUGUUAGAAGCUCUACAAAGAGUUUAUUAAAGACCAUUAAGCCUGGAGAAGAUAUAGCUUGGAGAAGUUGAACAAAAAGUUUGUUCAAUGACUUUAUGUCUGGGAUACUUGCUUUUAUUCAGUUUUGCUGAGCACAUGUACCCAAGUUUGGACAUGAGUGAGUGAAAAUAUUACAAAGGCCAAAUCUGCCCAGCAUUCCCAUUUAAGAAGAGAAACAAACUCUGCUUGGAAACAGUGACUAAGUUCUUAAAAUACUCAUUUCUGACUUUUUUGUCUAUGUGAAUUACAUAUGAAAAUGUUUCAGCAUGUUAAAGGGAAACUAUAAUGUAAAUUUGUAGGAACAUGAAUAAUAAUUUGGAAACACAUUUUUUAAUCUUAGAACAUUAGGUAAUUUUAUGAUGAGAUAAAUUUUAAUAUUAACAGUAGCCUAUGCAAAUCCACUCUGUCCAAAACAAUGACUUUUUUCCCCCAGUUUUCAGUUUUAACAUUAUUGUACAUAUCCUUUUCUGUAAUACUUGUCUUCUAUAAGGAAUGAAUUGACAUCACAGCAUAUUAAAGAGCAGGCAGGUUUUCUAGCACUUGGGCUACUUCUCUACACAUUCUUCUCAUCUCCUUCUCUUAAUGUAUUAUUUUCUCAUUCCUAAGAAAAGGUGGCUGACAGAAGCCAAGUAAGAGAGAAGAGAUUUAUUUUAGUGUGCAAUUUCAGAGGGCCCCGGCUCUUCAGAGUGGGGAGGGCUUAAUAAGGUGGCUCAGUACAUAGUGUCAACACAAGUUCACAAGGAAGUAAAUCAGAAAACAAAAAGUUACUGAAAAUAGCUGCCCGCCCACCUGCCUGCUUCCCUGAGGGUUGUUUGUAGAUUACAUAGCCUUCCUAAAUAUAAAGAAGUGUUGAGAAUAUAGCCUGUGGGAGGCAUUCAAAAUUCUGUCCACAAUAUCCACUCUAAUAUUCAGUCAAGUGCACUUGCCAAUUGAUUUAAAUACUUGUUCCCACAUCUACCUCUAGUAGUCAUGUCAAGCUUUGCAUGAACUAUGGAACAAUCACUGAGUAAAUUUAUGCUCAGUGAAUGGACUUUAGAAAUGAGAUGAAAUGUAUUUUCUACCCACGCUGAACAUUAAAAUCAUAGCAAACACCUAAACAAAGCCAUUAAAAAUACAUGUUAAAACAAGAAGAAAACAAACAGUAAAUGUUAAAGUUCUGAAGAGAGAAGAGGGUGAAAAGACCUGAUUUUUAGAUUAAGUGUAGCUUGUAAGUGUAGACAUGUUUGAAGGAAUAACAUAGGACGUGAAUUAAUAGAUUGAUAUGUUUGAUAAAUAAAUGAUUACACUUUGAAUCCCUUUAAAAUUUUACUAUUUGUUUAUGUAUACAUGGAAUUGUGCCUGUGGAUAUGCACACACAUGUGUGAAGAUGCCUGCAGAAACAAGAGAAUGGUGGUGUGCACUCUUGAUCUGGAGUUAUAAGUAUUUGGAGCCACACAAUUUAGAUGCAGGAAACUGCAGGCACAUCAAGUGCUUGUCAGCACUGUAUCAUCUCUCCAGCUAAGCUACUGCAGUUCGAACCGUGCUGAUAAAGUUGAAAUAUAAAUAAAACAUAAAGAAUCUUUUGUGGAUCCACAUAGUAGCUUAUAGCUGUCUUUUUAACAGUUCCAGGGGAUCCAAGGCAUCUCCUCUGUUCUCUGUGGCACCAGAGACACAAGUGAUAAUUAUGUAUAUGCAGAUGAAACAAUCAUAUAUAUAAAAUAAAAAUAAAUCUUUGAAAAAAUCAUUUGUGUAGAUAAAAUAAACUUAGGUUUAAUAAAUUUAUGUGAUGUUACAUGUGUUGGGAAAACACUAAGAAUCAAUUCAAGUUAUAAAGUUCAUAAAUUUAUAAUUCAUAAAAGGAAAACAAGAGGAAAUACUCAUUUGCACAAUCUCUUUAGUAAUCAAAGAAAUGAAACAAUAAUAUUAAUCCUUUGUUACUAGUAAUUCUAGAAAAUCCUGUUUUAAAAUUUAUAUCAAAUAUGACUCAUGUUGUAAAAUAUUUGAAAAAGAUAGUAAUUCCAAAGGAAUUCUAAAUGAGGACACAAUUUCUGGAGAGCAAGUUGGCAGUAUACCUCAAGUGCUAUAAAAUAUUCAUCUCAUUUGAUUUAUGAAUUUCUCUUCUAGAAAUGUACCCGUGGAAAUGCAAUUUGCUCACAAAUGUAAUCUGAGAGAAGCAAUUUUCAUGAAAAGAUUAUCAUUGCAAAGUCCUUGGAUGAAUUGCAGCUCCAUAUAUUCUGAGGAUGAAGUCAAAAGAACGAUAGAUUGGAAGCACAGUCAAGAUGAGUGUUGUGAUGCAUGUAUGAGUCAUUCCAUAGUCUCUGAUUGGAGGCAGAGUGGAGAGUUCCAAGUAUUUAAACACAAAAAGGAAUAGUUGACAUUACACAGAUUAAGGAUGAACGAUGAGAAGAGUGGGUGGUAAAAGGCUAGAAGAGUUUAUUGUGCUGUUGACAAUAUCCUCACAUGAAAGAGAUGAAGGUUCACUCUUCAGAAAGUAUCUGUGCUGGUGUCGUUUCUACACUCAACUUUUCUUUUGCAAUAAAAAUAUCAGAAUUAUCCUUUCGGUGGCCUUGCAAUACAUAGUGGUGACAUAAUUUGGAAUCUGAAUGGCUUCUAGUAGGACCACAAUCUCAAGGAUGUAUUUUCUUGGAGUAUUAUGGGCAAUGAAGAGAAGUUCUCUUCCUCUCUAGCUGGAUGCAUGAGUAUGGAUUACAUGGAAAGCAGAGUUAGAAUCUGUGUAAAACUACACUGAGGCUUGUUCCUGCCUCCCUCUGGAUACCCCAAGGGAGAAGAAUGAGUUCUGCUUUUGGACCGGCAUGGAAUUAUUUGGAAGAACCUCAUAUUCUGUGACCUCUGUUAUGCUCCCUUAUAUUCCCUGAAAAAUCUUUGUUCUGUCACCAUUAAAUCACAUCCAACUCUGAACCAGGGGGCUCAUGUGGGAAAAUGAGCAAUUCUGUAAAGCUGGGGCAGGACUUCAGGUGAAAACGGAUUGCCGAGGAAUGCUGUAGAGAGGCCAUGGGCCUCAAAUCUGGCAAUUUUUACCUUGGUGAGGUUUUAUUUUCUGCCAUAUGUUGGUUCUACUUUCUAAGAUCGAAUGGAAAGACCAGGAGUUAAGUUUCAUGGAACUAGUAAAUCAUAUAGUCCAUUGUACUCUGUCCAAAGAUUAACAACAUUCCUGUGGGUACUUCACCAAUCACAAUAGUACGUCUGCUUGUACCUGAGGCAAGGAGGCCAUUCUCUCCUAAAAGCUGUAAUAAUUUGUAGAAAUACAUGACUUGCCAUUUGAGAGGUCCCAAAGUUUAGGUUAAAACUCAAUAGUGCUAUUCAUUUUUGCUCAUAUACAUACAGAGGAAAGGAUUUAGUAAGACAGGGAGAGCUAAGUCUGGGACAGAAGUUUAAGAGGUCUGAGUCUAGUAAUUACAAGAGCCUAAUGGAAUAGAUUUUACUCUGCAGUUUUAGGCCUCACAAAGAAGGUUAGCCAAAAAUUUCGCUUCAACAUCUGAAUUCUGAAAAAGUCAGUCCCUGCUGUUUUGCAGGUCAUUGCUG